UAUUGGAAGUUAAUUGAUUUUUAGAUUUUGGGAACAAAUGGCAGAAAUGCGCAGGAUUAUUUAACAUUGUAUGGAUAUAUAAGGACUUCCGCUAAGGUUCAUUAGCGUGGUAGAAGUAUGUUAUGACGUCACAUCGAUUGUUACCAUCGAACCAAUGAGGUAACUCUGUACUAAAGAAGACUGUACAGAGCCUGACAAAGACAACUUAUAUAAACAGGGACAGCUACAGCCGUGGAUCAAAUCACACACACUAAAGAAUGAAAAACUCGGUGAGUUGGCUAUGUGUCGGGGUGUGGUGUAUGACGAUGAUGGUGAGUGAUGCGCAAGCGCGGCCUAAUCUCGCGCUGUCAUGUGACCACCGUGAGGUGCGCGAGUCGUGCCUAUACGGCUGUCUUGGUUGUCUGGAGGUAUUUGGAGUACAGCUGUAUGACAUGGCUGCCUGUUGCCAUGAUUGUAAAGUUACCAGGGCGGUACUUGUCGAUGACGGUCCUGUCAGAUGUUCAGACAAAUACAUACACGACUCCUGGAUCAAACGUUUCGGGAAAAGGAGAAGUAGGGUCCGGAGUUACCGCACGGGCCCGCUUCCAUGGUAACAGAUACAACCCACUUGAAGAAAAGUGUAUGAAUCGGCGCUAGAGGGGAUCAACAGCUGAUUUGCAUGGUAUGGUUGUACAACAAGACGUGGACAUCCAAAACAAACCUGUUAACUGCUGGGAAGUGAAAAUGUGUCCCAUAGGAUUCCCGGAACAUUUUGGUGUGUACAAUGGGACUGAUAUCGGUGUUAGGAGACAACAUUUGUUCCCCAUAUUGUGAGCAGAAUUAUUUGAACUUUUCAGUUUUUAGAGAGCUGCACCGUCCAGAACUGAUUUAUAACUGUCAAAAGAUAGUUCGCAAGGGUAAACUUAUUUGUAUAUAACUUAUUGAUUUUAUUCUACGUCGUUUUUUAGCUGUAACGUCCAAUAAAAUAUAUUUUAUCGAUUAUUAA
Pecten maximus is the source of this 985-nucleotide long non-coding RNA. RefSeq lists it as uncharacterized. The record is from RefSeq and is a predicted model, not a curated record. The transcript is spliced from 2 exons. NCBI's taxonomy places the organism in Eukaryota, Metazoa, Mollusca, Bivalvia, Pectinida, Pectinidae.